AACUUAAUAGGAAUGCCAAGAAAUGUGAUGAAGAAGAAAAGGCUGAAAAGGCCAAGAUUAAAAGACUUCAGCCUUGAUGAACAAAUUCGAACACCAGUUUGAAAUAUUGGAUAUUCAAACACAACAAAUGGAGGAUAAAAUGAGUAACUCUACAACCCUAACAACACCACAAAACCAAAUGGAUAUGCUGCUUCAGGAAAUGCCAGAUGAAGCUAGGUAAGAAGUUAUCCAGGUGAUUGUGGAAAAUCUUGAUUUAGUAUCUAGAGGUUCUAAAAUUCUGUGAUAUAGAUGAAAAUAUUUCUCUUUUCCACGAAUUGCCAGAGUUAGGUUUGUGACCCUAGAAUUUAGUGUUUCAAGGGAUUUUAAACAGUCAUCUAAUUCCUUGCCAUGCUCAUAAAAAUUUGACUGUGUUUCAAUCAUCUUAGUAUUUUCUUAAAAAUUUCUGGAAAUAGACUCAUUUAGUGUGUGUAAAGAAAUAGGCAAAGGUGAUCAAAGGAACCAGGAAUGUUUGAACAUUUGCUCAAUACCUACUGUUCGCUGCAUAUAUGAAAUAUAUGGUGUGUUGUUUUUUUUUUUUUUUAAAAAAAGGACCUUCCAAAAUAAUUCUGCUGUGAUUAGGCCAUUGAGUCAUAAGUCUAGUUUGAGUACUGCAAACUGAGCAAUAUGUGCAAAAUGUGCAAAGGGCUCAAAAGACAGCAGUAUUACACAUAAUGAUUUGGUUGUUUCUUUUAAGUAAAUAGUUCAUACCCUUUUGUGAUAUUGUUUUUGGAAAUAGGGUGUAUAAUACAAGCUGUUUAUUUCAGGCCCUUCAUGUCAUGGUAGAAUGACUUAUCUAUGAUAUCUUUGCUAUAGAGGUCAUGUUGUAUCAUUAUUCUCUGGUGUAAUGUUUGCUUCAAGAUAAUGUAGUAGUAAAAAAUAAAAAUUGAUGCUAAUGUUUUAUAAUUUAUUUUCAAAGGUAGAGAACUAGUUUGAAACGAGGCUUAGUCUUAUUUUGUUCUUUUCUCCUGGGAAGAGAAGAUUUGAAGACAUCUGGAAAACAGAGUAGAUAAAUACUACUCUCUUAUCUAAGCUAAUACCUGAUUAGAAUAAACAGUUAAGUUUAUCAACACUUUCGAUCACUAAUAUAUUACUAAAGAAUUAAAAUCGAGAUUAAUAAAUUAAAAAUCAGGUUAGUAGUGUUCGAGAACAGGGCUGUGGGUUAAGUUGUGUGCUAUUUUGUUUUGUUAGUAUCCUAAAGUAGCCCAUAUAUGGAGGGGAACAAGAAAGGUGGUUUUCAUUAAAUAUUAUAACAAAGGCAUUGUGUGUCAGAAGACUCCGUCUUCUAAAGAUAGUCUUUAUAAGGGACUAAGGACUUGUUUAGUUUCUGCUAAAGACUAAAUUAGACGAUUUGGCUUGAAAAUGCAACAAGGGAAGUCUUAUAAAAUGAAUGCUGCCACGUUAUGGCCUUACUGACCCUCAGUGGUAAAUGAAAUCAGUAGGCAACUUUUUGAUAAGGUUUAGAGCAGGAUUUUACAACCUC
This 1519-nucleotide long non-coding RNA is filed under the name Papio anubis (olive baboon). Its description in RNAcentral is "lncRNA (ENSPANG00000036221.2)". Lineage: Eukaryota; Metazoa; Chordata; Mammalia; Primates; Cercopithecidae. The record is from RNAcentral.